This 402-nucleotide ribosomal RNA is filed under the name uncultured prokaryote. RNAcentral's name for it is "bacterial SSU rRNA". It matches the Rfam family "Bacterial small subunit ribosomal RNA", at positions 355 to 774 of the family's 1533-position model. The record is from RNAcentral.
UGGGGAAUAUUGGUAAUCUGCGAAAGCGGGAACCAGCAACGCCGCGUGUGCGAUGAAGGCCUUCGGGUUGUAAAGCACUUUUUGAGAGGAUGAGGAAGGACAGUACUCUCAGAAUAAGCCUCGGCUAACUACGUGCCAGCAGCCGCGGUAACACGUAGGAGGCAAGCGUUAUUCGGAUUUACUGGGCGUAAAGAGCGUGUAGGAGGCAAUACAAGUUGGAUGUAAAAGCUCUCGGCUAAACUGAGAGAGGACGUUCAAGACUGUAGAGCUAGAGGAUGGUAGAGGGAGGUGGAAUUCCGGGUGUAGCGGUGGAAUGCGCAGAUAUCCGGAGGAACACCAGUGGCGAAAGCGGCCUCCUGGACCAUUCCUGACAUUCAGACGCGAAAGCUAGGGUAGCAAACG